This is an RNA transcript of Phragmites australis (common reed), 3900 nucleotides long. It is a transcript of the gene named protein FAR1-RELATED SEQUENCE 5-like, with no coding region annotated. The record is from RefSeq and is a predicted model, not a curated record. The transcript has 6 exons. NCBI's taxonomy places the organism in Eukaryota, Viridiplantae, Streptophyta, Magnoliopsida, Poales, Poaceae.
GAGCUUCGAGUUCCCUUGGACCGGUUCCACCAUCUCGGACGUAGACCGCCGCUAGACCCCUCCCCUCCCCUCCUUUCCUCGGCUCCUCCCUCCCCCGGCCCAAUCGCCCGCCGCCGAGACCGGCGUGGUCCCUGCUCCCGUGAUCGAAACAGGCGGCGCGGCAGCGGUGAAGGAGGAUAGGGGGACGAGACCGCCGGGCGCGCGCUAGCGGCGAGGGCAGCGGGUGCUGACCGAGGGCGCACGGCACGCGGUUGGCCUGGCAGCGGAGAUUGCGGGCGCCGCAGGCCCGGGAGGAGCGCCGCGGCUAGCAGAGCCGAGUGCUGAGGCGGAGGCGGGCGGGCCGCAGCAAUCGGCUCCUCAGGCGUUAUUUUUUCCCCCGCAGUUGAGUGGAACCACUUCUGAUCCUUUAUCUAUAAAUAUUGAUGGAGCUAGCUGAGUAGAAAUGGAGAGCAAUCAAGAUUCUCAAGAAGAAAGGCUUCAAAGAAGGGAGAAUGGUGAAGAAGCAGAAAAGGCGGUUGAUUACGGAAAUGCUUUGACUCGCAAGAAGGCAACAGAAGAGCUUCUUGGUUGCGUAGUCCAUAGUGAGGAAGAGGCAUACAAACUGUAUUGUGACUAUGGGCAUCGAAUUGGUUUUAGUGUGCGGAAGGGCAAACAGUCUUACUUUAUUGGUACCAAGAAUAUUCGGACAAAGGAUUACUAUUGCUCAAAGGAAGGGCUUAAAUAUGAUGAGCCUGUUACAGAAGCAAAUUUUAAUCGACCAGACACAAGAACUAAUUGCAAAGCAAUGAUCCGCUUUAGAGUUGACGAGAAGGGACGAUGGACAGUUAUUCGCUUUGUUCCUGACCAUAAUCACCAAUUGGCGAAACCUGGGGAAAGGCACAUGCUGAGAUCGGCCAAGUCACUUGCUGUUGGCAGAUCAGGUGUUAUAGAUCCAUCAGCAUCUACAGUGCCACAUCCAAUAAAUGGUUUCUCUGAUAUGAUUGAAGGUGAUAUAGCUGAGAAUCCAGAGUAUACUAUAAGGGAUUGCUACAAUCAAGUGAGAAUACAGGGUAUAACGAUAAUUGAGGCUGGGGACAGCCAAAAUCUUGUCAGCUAUUUCAAGCGUAGAACCAACGAGGAAGGCAUGUUUUAUUGGGAUGUCCAAGUUGAUCAAGAAGGGCGCAUGACAAAUUUCUUCUACAGGGAUGGUAAAAGUAGAAAUGAUUAUGACUGCUUUGGAGACGCUGUUAUAUUUGACACAACUUACCGCACAAAUAAAUAUAACUUGAUAUGUGCCCCAUUUGUUGGUGUUGACCACCAUUGGCAGAAUGUUGUUUUCGGCUGUGCAUUCUUGUUAGAUGAAUCUGUAUCUUCCUACAUUUGGGUAUUUAAAUCAUUCUUGGAGUCAAUGGGAGGCCGAUCACCAAAAUCAAUUUUCACUGAUCAGGACGAAGCUAUUAUGCAGGCAAUCGAGCAGGUUUUUCCUAACACACAACAUUGCUUUUCCUACUGGCAUAUUCUGAAGAAUGCACAAUCUCAUUUAGGCACACUAAAUACUUCACAAGCAUUUCAAAAUAUGUUUAUGAAGUGUAUGCAUGGAUCUGACUCGGAAGAGGAGUUUGAGGAAUCUUGGACUGCAAUGCUCCAUGAAUACAAACUACAGGAUAAUAGCUGGCUGAUUGACCUUUAUAGGUUCCGUCAUAAAUGGUGCUCAGCAUUUAACAAAGAUACCUUUGAUGGUGGGAUGAAUUCAUCACAAUGGGGGGAAGUUUCAAACAAUAUUCUCAAUGGAAUUUCUGAUGAAUCUACUUCUCUUACACGUUUCUCCCUUUUGCUAGAAAAGGUUGUCAAGGCUCUACGUAGAAAUGAAUCUGAAGAGGAUUUUCGCUGUAGCCAAACUGCUCCAGUUCGUGCAAUUAAGCAUAGUACAGUUCUGAAGCAGGCUGCAGAAUCAUAUACUCAUAGGAUCUACAAACUAUUUGAGGCAGAAUUUCUGGAUGGAUGUGGAGCAACAUCAUGCCAUGAAACUUCGUCCGGUGGAAAUUUAUUGAGAUAUGAAAUUACGAUGCAGGGGAGGGGUUCAAAAGUAUGGGCUGCUCUUGACACUUCCACCAUGGAGAUCACUUGUGGUUGCAGAAAGUUUGAAAGGAUGGGUCUUCUUUGUUCGCAUGCUCUCAAAACCUUCAGCCUGCAGAAUGUGGACACAAUUCCAGAAAAGUAUAUUUUGAAACGCUGGACAAAAGAUGCCAAGAGAAGCAUGUAUAAACUUGCUCAAGAUGAUUCAACCCAACAGGAAUGCACUGAGGCUGAACUUGCAUAUCGUAAUCGAGCAAUGCAGUACGCAUAUAACCUAAUUAUGAAGAGUCAGGAAUUGGAAGAAUCAAGAAAAAUAUUCUGGGACUCCCUUGAAACCGGAGAGAAGGCACUGGAAGUAUUCUUUGAAAUGAGAAACUUGCGCACUCAAGCUGCAAAAGAUGCUAGUAAAAGGGAGAAAAAGAAGAAAAAACUAUCAAAAGGACCAAACUCAAAAAAAGCAAAGCAAGUCCCAACAUCUUCCUCAAUUGGCCAGGAGCUAAUUGUCCAAACUAAUGAGCAUCAGUUUCCAUCUUCACAAGAUGCUCAGGGUCAUGCGACAAUUGGAAGACCAAUUUACUAUCAGCAGGCUUUUCCAACUGCCCCUAUGCAACCGAACCAGAUCUACAUGCAUCCGAAUAUGCACACAAUGCCUCUUUGCACGCCACAGCUCAUUCUCGAGCUGUGAUGGUGGCCAUGGUUGAAGCCCUUGAUGGCUGGAUGAUGGCUCCAAAGUGCACUUUGUCAUGCAAGAGAAGAACAGCGAGGAGGAAAUCUGGCAGACGAUUCCUGAAGGUGAAUGAUCCAUUGGUGUGACUCGAAGUUGAGGAAGCCGCCAGAGACAUGGCCGCAAGGGCAAUCGACAGCAGGCAGCAACAACACCCUUCACACCAUGGAACACAAUGGUGCAGGAUUUGUCUUCAUAUGCUGCAAUACGUCCCAAUUCAAAUUUCGAUGCCGCCAAGAAUAUCUGAAGGAUAUUAAGGUAUGCAAUGUCAAUCUUUUGUGUGCCGUGCGACCAUGUGGAACUAUUUUCUUUGUCUUAUUGCUCUUGCUGCCACUUCUGGCAAGAGGAUGCAUAUUUCUGCAGUAGUAGGAUGAUGCAUUUUCCUUGUAUUUUUCUCAAAUGUGAACAUCAGAAUUGGAUACCAGUCCUGUCCUGGGCUGGUAUCAGUGUUAACAGGGCAAUGGCCAGUUACACCAAGCUUCUAUGCCUGCUCUACGCAUGAUACCGACCCCUGCUGCAGUCAAACACUUACAUGCUAAUGCCUUGUUACUCUUAUUUUAUGUCUCUGGAAAAUCUUGUUCGGGGAUUGCUGCUACCAACUGCAGCUUGAACUUCGUCAACCUUCAUGUAGGCCUUGCGGUGCUUGUUCAUGUUGGUUUAUGAGUCCUUUCUACUGAUCUUUAGGGAAGUGGCUAUUCUGGCUAUUGCUAUGCAACCUCUUCUGCGUAGAGAAGUAGCGUGUUAUUCAUCUCAGGCAGGCAAUUGUAGGCUUGUAAAUUGUAAGUUAUGUACGAGAGAUCGAGAAUAGUGGUCAUUGCGUAUAUGCAGAAUCAGAAUCCAGUUGCAAACUAGACUCAUGCAGGGAUCAAUUCUCUUGUGCUAAGGGCUGUCUCAGGCCAAACAUAAACCGGUCGAGUGACACCACCUACUCACCUCCUGGCAUGUGGCGAGAAUAGAUGGAGAUCUCCAUCCGCCUCGUGCGCGGAUUUCUCUUAUUUGAAGGCAGUUUCCUGCAUGAGUUGAGCUUGAGCAGCAGAAUCGCUGUAUGAAGAAGGAAGCAGAAGAUGCUGCACGGGUGUCGUCGAUUCGAACUGACAUAGACCUCUGUUUUUUUUUUGGGG